RNAcentral lists this ribosomal RNA (397 nucleotides) under uncultured bacterium. RNAcentral describes it as "bacterial SSU rRNA". It matches the Rfam family "Bacterial small subunit ribosomal RNA", at positions 360 to 773 of the family's 1533-position model. The record is from RNAcentral.
AAUCUUGCGCAAUGGGCGAAAGCCUGACGCAGCAACGCCGCGUGGGGGAUGAAUGCCUUCGGGUUGUAAACCCCUUUCAGCAGGAACGAAAUUGACGGUACCUGCAGAAGAAGCCCCGGCCAACUACGUGCCAGCAGCCGCGGUAAUACGUAGGGGGCAAGCGUUGUCCGGAUUUAUUGGGCGUAAAGAGCUCGUAGGCGGCUUGGCAAGUCGGGUGUGAAAACUUCAGGCUUAACCUGGAGAUGGCACUCGAUACUGCUAUGGCUAGAGUCCGGUAGGGGACCACGGAAUUCCUGGUGUAGCGGUGAAAUGCGCAGAUAUCAGGAGGAACACCGGUGGCGAAGGCGGAUCUCUGGGCCGAUACUGACGCUGAGGAGCGAAAGCGUGGGGAGCGAAC